UCAUUCGAUUUGUUGUGGAUUGGAUGAUGGAAAAACCUGCAAGUAGCAAGCGUAGUUAGAAAAGUUGUCGUAGCGUGCCCUACGGAGUUGUAAAAAGUCAGCAACCGUUUUGGGGCGCAAGCAUAGGCAACACAGGACUGAUGACGGGGUGGGGCGCACAGUGAACUGGUUUUCUAAAAAGAUUGGAAGAUCCGGCCAAAGAAGGUGAUAGCCCUGUUCAUUCAUUCCCAU
RNAcentral lists this ribosomal RNA (231 nucleotides) under Triticum aestivum (bread wheat). Its description in RNAcentral is "partial small subunit ribosomal RNA". Lineage: Eukaryota; Viridiplantae; Streptophyta; Magnoliopsida; Poales; Poaceae. The record is from RNAcentral.